CUUCGGAGUGAGCGGCGGACGGGUUAGUAACGCGUGGGAACGUGCCCUUCUCUAAGGAAUAGCCACUGGAAACGGUGAGUAAUACCUUAUACGCCCUUCGGGGGAAAGAUUUAUCGGAGAAGGAUCGGCCCGCGUUAGAUUAGAUAGUUGGUGGGGUAAUGGCCUACCAAGUCUACGAUCUAUAGCUGGUUUUAGAGGAUGAUCAGCAACACUGGGACUGAGACACGGCCCAGACUCCUACGGGAGGCAGCAGUGGGGAAUCUUGGACAAUGGGCGCAAGCCUGAUCCAGCCAUGCCGCGUGAGUGAUGAAGGCCUUAGGGUCGUAAAGCUCUUUCGCCAGAGAUGAUAAUGACAGUAUCUGGUAAAGAAACCCCGGCUAACUCCGUGCCAGCAGCCGCGGUAAUACGGAGGGGGUUAGCGUUGUUCGGAAUUACUGGGCGUAAAGCGCACGUAGGCGGAUCAGAAAGUAUAGGGUGAGAUCCCAGGGCUCAACCCUGGAACUGCCUUGUAAACUCCUGAUCUUGAGUUCGAGAGAGGUAAGUGG
RNAcentral lists this ribosomal RNA (545 nucleotides) under uncultured Alphaproteobacteria bacterium. RNAcentral describes it as "bacterial SSU rRNA". It matches the Rfam family "Bacterial small subunit ribosomal RNA", at positions 84 to 664 of the family's 1533-position model. The record is from RNAcentral. Lineage: Bacteria; Pseudomonadati; Pseudomonadota; Alphaproteobacteria.